GUGCUGGCUUUGGCAUCGCAUAUGCUAAAAUUGGAACCAUACAGAGAAGAUUAGCAGAGCAAGGGUAACUUGCAAAUUUCUGAAGUAUUCUAUAUUUUU
Molecule: small nuclear RNA, 99 nt
Organism: Loxodonta africana (African savanna elephant)
Lineage: Eukaryota; Metazoa; Chordata; Mammalia; Proboscidea; Elephantidae
Source: Ensembl